AAGCUAUGGGAGUAGAUUCUAGGAGAAGAAAAGAAGAAAAUACAGCCUGCAGCAACUACAAAUUGAGUGAGAGAAUGAGCCAAAGGGUGUGACAAGAGAACAACAAGGAUGGCAUAACAACGUCCAGGUCCUUAUUGAAGAUGACAAGACAUGGAUUAUUGCAUGAACCAUGAGCGGUUUUGUUUGGCAUGGAACACACAUGUGAACCCGUUUGUUCUGUUUUACUUGCCCCCAAACAGAAGCCAAAGGAGAGAUAGAAGGGUGUAGGGACAGAAUCUUCCUGGGUCUCUCUCAUUUUAUAUUGACAUCAGAAUCAUAGGCACGGGCUGAGACAUGUUUUCCCAACUCGUCGAUCAAUAAUUCACUCUCCCUCUUCCAUUCUCAUCCAUUUAUUAGCCCUUCACCCUCCUUUUCUUUCCCCACAACACAUUGCUUUCAUUUUAUCUAUAUGAUAAUGAAAUCUUCACAUAUUCUUUUGUUCUGUGUCCUUGCAACUGCUUCCUAUGUCUUCUACCAACAUUUUUCUAUUGCUUCUUUGAAUUUUCUUCCAGGAAGGAGACGCGUGAGAGAAUUGAGCAUGUCAUUCUCCAACCCAAAGCAUGAAUACCAGAAGAUCCAGGAUGUUGAUGAAGAAAUGAAGAGAUCUACAAUGCAAGAAGAUUCCAUUGCUGUACAACACAGAAGCAGCAGUGAGAAUUCAGAAGAGAAUGUUUACCACAUCGAUUAUCAUGGAGUCAAAACUCAUCCAACUCCAACUCCCAAACACCCCCAACCUUAGAACCUUACAAGCUUUCCCUACGGAAGCAUUUAUUCAUGCAUGUCCUGUAUUCCUAAUCAAUAGAUACAACAAUGUACUAGUAUAUAUAAUAAUAUUUCGGAUGGAAAUAUUUUGCUUCAAA
Vitis riparia (riverbank grape) is the source of this 899-nucleotide long non-coding RNA. RefSeq lists it as uncharacterized. The record is from RefSeq and is a predicted model, not a curated record. Lineage: Eukaryota; Viridiplantae; Streptophyta; Magnoliopsida; Vitales; Vitaceae. The transcript is spliced from 2 exons.